GGAAAUUUGAAGAAUAGCAAAGUUCUGCCUGAAGCAAAGAUGGUGAUUCAGCUGGAAGAGUAUUUUCUGAGGAAUCAACGCCCCAGCUUAGUUACCUGGCAGAUCUGGUGCAGCUACCAUGAGAAGUCCUACUGGUGCACCUGGACUGAGUGAGAUGCUUAAAUUCACAAGGAGGACCCACUACCAAUGGCUGCCUUUCUGCCAAAGGGCCCUGCUCUCUGUACAGGCUCUUAAUCUUGGCAUUCCUGUGGCUUCUCUAAAUGCUUCUCCAAAAUGUUGGACCAUUUCCAAGAAAAAGUCUCCAUUCUUCCCCAGCCCUGGCACAGUACAGCAGCUCCAUUCCUUCCUACUCUAUGUAUGACAGUCUGGUCUCUGAUGUUUUUUCAGUGAAUUAACUCCAAGAAUUUAAAAGAAAGAACAUUUCAAUAUGUUUUUCUGACAGGCCCUCCCAUGUCUGAACCUUCCCAGGCUGAAGGACUACAAGGCAUCUUCAUUGAUAUAAACUGCCGUCAUGAAAGAGGAGCAGCGAGUUGAGACCUUAAGCUGUUUUGUCAGAUUGUACUUUGGUAAUGGAUCUGUGGGUCUGCCGAUAUGUUACCCAAAGGUGUCUUUUCAAAACAGUCAGUCAUGUUUCUUCUUACCUAAUUAUAGGGGCAUCUGUUUCAAAAUGCAACUAAUCCCUCCAGGUUUUGUGGGCUGAGGAAAGGGGCGGAAGGGGUCAGUUGGAACUUGUGCUCUUAUCCCUCUUGCAAGAUUAUUCCCUAAUAUUCACAAAAGUAUUUAGAGCAUUGACAAGUAUUUGCCCUGACAAGCCCGCGGAGAACUCGAUACACUCUUGUCUGCCUCAGAUAAACCGUUCCCUGAAAAAAGACAUCAGCAGAGCAUGGGAAGUUGUUUCACCUUGCUUUGAUUAAAUAUAUAUAUAUAUAAUACAAUUGGUAAUCUCCCUAAAAAUAUUGGCAAUCUAAUGCCUAUGGGAAUGAGCAAUUUCUAUAGUGCUGGUUAAACUGGUCUCAGCACAGAUGGGCACUGUGCAGACUCUUUGCAUGCAACUAUUACGAGCCCUGUAACUCUACUGCUAUACCAAAGCCAGAAUAGU
Molecule: long non-coding RNA, 1099 nt
Filed under: Gallus gallus (chicken)
Lineage: Eukaryota; Metazoa; Chordata; Aves; Galliformes; Phasianidae
Description: lncRNA (ENSGALG00010019084.1)
Source: RNAcentral